Molecule: microRNA, 20 nt
Filed under: Heligmosomoides polygyrus
Lineage: Eukaryota; Metazoa; Nematoda; Chromadorea; Rhabditida; Heligmosomidae
Description: hpo-miR-10134-3p
Source: miRBase by way of RNAcentral
AUGAAGCCCUCUUGAUAAGC